AAGUCGUAACAAGGUUUCCGUAGGUGAACCUGCGGAAGGAUCAUUAACGAAGACUUGGGCGGGCGCGUCUCGCGCGCGCCCUUCUCGUCGUCCACCCUGUGCACCGAGACCUUUUUUGCGCUCCAAAUGACGAGGAUGAUAACGAAAUAAAAAUGGCACAAAAUGAAGCAACGGAUCUCUUGGCUCUC
Molecule: unclassified non-coding RNA, 188 nt
Filed under: fungal sp.
Lineage: Eukaryota; Fungi
Description: partial internal transcribed spacer region
Rfam family: Eukaryotic small subunit ribosomal RNA (bases 1-46)
Source: RNAcentral